CCCUUAGAUGUUCUGGGCUGCACGCGCGCUACACUGAUGCGCUCAACGAGUUUAUGAACUUGCCCGGAAGGGUUGGUUAAUCUUUUUAAAACGCAUCGUGAUGGGGAUAGAUUAUUGCAAUUAUUAAUCUUCAACGAGGAAUUCCUAGUAAGCGCGAGUCAUCAGCUCGUGCUGAUUACGUCCCUGCCCUUUGUACACACCGCCCGUCGCUGCCCGGAACUGAGCCGUUUCGAGAAAGCCGGGGACUGACGGCUUGUGGGUGCGCAAGCACUUCUUGCCGAUGGAAACCAGUUUAAUCGGUAUGGCUUGAACCGGGCAAAAGUCGUAACA
This 330-nucleotide ribosomal RNA is filed under the name uncultured eukaryote. Its description in RNAcentral is "partial 18S ribosomal RNA". It matches the Rfam family "Eukaryotic small subunit ribosomal RNA", at positions 1470 to 1796 of the family's 1831-position model. The record is from RNAcentral.